UCCCAUCAAAACUUCUAGUGCAACCACUCCAAAGCUAUAAACAUCACAUUUAUCAUUGACCCGCAUUGUGAGCGCCAGCUCUGGUGCCAUAUAGCCAUAGGAACCAGCAACUGCAGUCCAGUUGGAUGAAUCUUUAUUCAACAGUCUUGCUGUGCCAAAAUCUGAAAGCCGUGGCUCAAAAUCUGACUCGAGCAAAAUAUUAUUCAAAGAUAUGUCCCGAUGAACAAUUGGUGGAGAGCAAUCAUGGUGCAAGUAGGCAAUUGCAUGAGCCACUCCUUGCACAAUCUUCACCCUUGUAGCCCA
RNAcentral lists this unclassified non-coding RNA (303 nucleotides) under Hevea brasiliensis (rubber tree). The record is from RNAcentral. Lineage: Eukaryota; Viridiplantae; Streptophyta; Magnoliopsida; Malpighiales; Euphorbiaceae.